GGUUAAGCGACUAAGCGUACACGGUGGAUGCCCUGGCAGUCAGAGGCGAUGAAGGACGUGCUAAUCUGCGAUAAGCGCCGGUAAGGUGAUAUGAACCGUUAUAACCGGCGAUUUCCGAAUGGGGAAACCCAGUGUGAUUCGUCACACUAUCAUUAACUGAAUCCAUAGGUUAAUGAGGCGAACCGGGGGAACUGAAACAUCUAAGUACCCCGAGGAAAAGAAAUCAACCGAGAUUCCCCCAGUAGCGGCGAGCGAACGGGGAGGAGCCCAGAGCCUGAAUCAGCAUGUGUGUUAGUGGAAGCGUCUGGAAAGGCGCGCGAUACAGGGUGACAGCCCCGUACACAAAAGCGCAUGUGCUGUGAGCUCGAUGAGUAGGGCGGGACACGUGGUAUCCUGUCUGAAUAUGGGGGGACCAUCCUCCAAGGCUAAAUACUCCUGACUGACCGAUAGUGAACCAGUACCGUGAGGGAAAGGCGAAAAGAACCCCGGCGAGGGGAGUGAAAAAGAACCUGAAACCGUGUACGUACAAGCAGUGGGAGCACAGGUUUACCUGUGUGACUGCGUACCUUUUGUAUAAUGGGUCAGCGACUUAUAUUCUGUAGCAAGGUUAACCGAAUAGGGGAGCCGUAGGGAAACCGAGUCUUAACCGGGCGUUAAGUUGCAGGGUAUAGACCCGAAACCCGGUGAUCUAGCCAUGGGCAGGUUGAAGGUUGGGUAACACUAACUGGAGGACCGAACCGACUAAUGUUGAAAAAUUAGCGGAUGACCUGUGGCUGGGGGUGAAAGGCCAAUCAAACCGGGAGAUAGCUGGUUCUCCCCGAAAGCUAUUUAGGUAGCGCCUCGUGAAUUCAUCUCCGGGGGUAGAGCACUGUUUCGGCUAGGGGGCCAUCCCGGCUUACCAACCCGAUGCAAACUGCGAAUACCGGAGAAUGUUAUCACGGGAGACACACGGCGGGUGCUAACGUCCGUCGUGAAGAGGGAAACAACCCAGACCGCCAGCUAAGGUCCCAAAGUCAUGGUUAAGUGGGAAACGAUGUGGGAAGGCCCAGACAGCCAGGAUGUUGGCUUAGAAGCAGCCAUCAUUUAAAGAAAGCGUAAUAGCUCACUGGUCGAGUCGGCCUGCGCGGAAGAUGUAACGGGGCUAAACCAU
Molecule: ribosomal RNA, 1150 nt
Filed under: Salmonella enterica subsp. enterica serovar Newport
Lineage: Bacteria; Pseudomonadati; Pseudomonadota; Gammaproteobacteria; Enterobacterales; Enterobacteriaceae
Description: partial 23S ribosomal RNA
Rfam family: Bacterial large subunit ribosomal RNA
Source: RNAcentral